This 164-nucleotide ribosomal RNA is filed under the name uncultured bacterium. RNAcentral describes it as "partial 16S rRNA". It matches the Rfam family "Bacterial small subunit ribosomal RNA", at positions 355 to 511 of the family's 1533-position model. The record is from RNAcentral.
GGGGGAAUCUUCCACAAUGGGCGAAAGCCUGAUGGAGCAACGCCGCGUGUGUGAUGAAGGGUUUCGGCUCGUAAAACACUGUUGUAAGAGAAGAAUGACAUUGAGAGUAACUGUUCAAUGUGUGACGGUAUCUUACCAGAAAGGAACGGCUAAAUACGUGCCAG